Molecule: ribosomal RNA, 208 nt
Filed under: uncultured bacterium
Lineage: Bacteria
Description: partial 16S ribosomal RNA
Rfam family: Bacterial small subunit ribosomal RNA
Source: RNAcentral
UACGGAGGGUGCAAGCGUUAUCCGGAUUCACUGGGUUUAAAGGGUGCGUAGGUGGGUUUGUAAGUCAGUGGUGAAAUCUCCAAGCUUAACUUGGAACUGCCGUUGAUACUAUAAAUCUUGAAUGUUGUGGAGGUGAGCGGAAUAUGUCAUGUAGCGGUGAAAUGCUUAGAUGAUGAACAUAGUAACACCAAUUGCGAAGGCAGCUCAC